UCUCAUGUUUUUGUUUUAUAAGGGCAGGCAUCAACAGUUGAGGAAAUGUCCUUGAUAAAUCUCUCAACUGCCUGGAGGAAACGCAGAUACCGAUUAAUAGCUUGUCCAAUGAUGGAGAAAUACAUUUAAAGGACAAUGGGAAAAGGAUCAUGGAGAAGUUGAUGACAAAGGAGGUAAUGGCCAGUUUCAAUAUGAAGGGCGGGAAAGGAACAUCUUUACAAUGUUGUCACAGAGUGUCUAGAGGACUUCAAAGGAGACGGAGGCAAACAUUGGAGCGGCUGUCGCCGUAUGUUUAAAAUAUGCCCCAGACAGGCAGGGGCGGAGGUUGCAGGAAAAAAAAAUUGUACGAUUUUAGAAUAAGGAUAAUAAUGUUAAGUAUAAAUGGUUGAAAACCUUCUGUUAAAAUAAUGUAAAAAAAAAAAGAAUAAAAUAAAAGGUUAUUUUAUAAUCCAUUUAAUUUCUUUGUCAUUUAUCUAAUAAACAUCAUUUGUGGAUUACAGUUCACUAAAAAUUAAAUUACUUUUCUGUUUGCUCUUGUCUUAA
Pimephales promelas (fathead minnow) is the source of this 543-nucleotide non-coding RNA. The record is from RefSeq and is a predicted model, not a curated record. NCBI's taxonomy places the organism in Eukaryota, Metazoa, Chordata, Actinopteri, Cypriniformes, Leuciscidae.